This is a long non-coding RNA of Prosopis cineraria, 739 nucleotides long. RefSeq lists it as uncharacterized. NCBI's taxonomy places the organism in Eukaryota, Viridiplantae, Streptophyta, Magnoliopsida, Fabales, Fabaceae. The record is from RefSeq and is a predicted model, not a curated record. The transcript has 5 exons.
CUCCCCGGUCUCCUUCCGAGUAAAAUCCGCUGUCACUGUCUCGCAGUGUCUCUUUCCCUCUCCUCCUCCACGCCAAGCACCAUCGUUCAGAUAAGAAAGUUGCGCUUGAUUAGCCAAUGAGGAUUUGUAGGUCGUUGGAAUCGAUGAUCUAAAGAAAGCUCCAUGAAUAAAAUUUUCCGAGUUUAACUUUGAAAAAGUUCUCCAAGUGUCUUGCAUCAUUCACCAGGGAAGGCUGGUGGAUUAAUGUAUUUUCUGCUUGCUAUAUGUGUGAAUUGACAUGAGAAAUGGUUGCAUGAUCAUAAUGAUGGCAGGGGUUCACUGUAGUGGGAGAUUAAUGAUUGAUAUCCACGUGAUUACACCAACAUUCCCAUGGAUUUUGUUGGCGGUGAUGAAACUUUGGUGGCUUAUGAUGAUCAUGCAUUGCAUUGAUUUGUAUUAAAUGGCACUAGUUUAGGAUUGAACAAGGGAAAAGCUCCUAAGGCAUAGGAUAUUUGGUCCUUUCUGUAAUGCCUCAGUUUACUUUUUGAGUUAUGUGUAAUUAACGUGAUAUUCUCAACUAGGAAUUUUUUUUUGGUAACUUGCACCACUGCGUGCUGUUGUUGUGGACUGGUUAUAUUUAGUGUGCUAAUUUAUGUUAUUAGGCUGUAAAGCUUUGAAUAGAGCCUAAAUAUUAGUGUAAGUAUGCUGUUGAUUAUUUUAAUGACUAUAGAUUAUAAUGAUGUGGAUUUUAUGUUGAUUA